GACGAACGCUGGCGGCGUGCUUAACACAUGCAAGUCGAACGGUGAAGGGACCGGUUUUUGCUGUUUCUGGGUGAGUGACGAACGGGUGAGUAACACGUAAGUAACCUGCCCCCUUCUUCUGGAUAACCGCAUGAAAGUGUGGCUAAUGCUGGGUAUUCUGCGCCUGCUGCAUGGGGGGUGUGGGAAAGAUAUUGUUUCGGUGGGGGAUGGGCUGUCGGCCUAUCAGCUUGUUGGUGGGGUGAUGGCGUAGCGAGGGGGUGACGGGAAGAAGGCCUGAGAGGGUGGCCGGCCAGACGGGGACUGCGACACGGCUGGGACUGAUACGGGAGGCAGCAGUGGGGAAGAGUGAGCAGUGGGGGAAAGUCUGAUGCAGCGGCGCCGCGUGAGGGAUGGAGGCCGUCGGGUUGUAAACCUCUUUCGGCAGUGAAGCGGGUCUGCCCGUGUUGUGGGUGGGUUGACGGUAGCUGGAUAAGAAGCGCCGGCUAACUACGUG
This 493-nucleotide ribosomal RNA is filed under the name uncultured bacterium. RNAcentral describes it as "partial 16S ribosomal RNA". It matches the Rfam family "Bacterial small subunit ribosomal RNA", at positions 28 to 507 of the family's 1533-position model. The record is from RNAcentral.